This 715-nucleotide ribosomal RNA is filed under the name uncultured bacterium. Its description in RNAcentral is "bacterial SSU rRNA". It matches the Rfam family "Bacterial small subunit ribosomal RNA", at positions 61 to 777 of the family's 1533-position model. The record is from RNAcentral.
GUCGAGUGCGCGGUUUGUAGCAAUACAACUGGCGCACGGCGCACGGGUGCGUAACACGUGGGCAAUCUGCCCUCCGAUGGGGAAUAACUCCGGGAAACCGAAGCUAAUUCCGCAUAACAUUCCCUGGACUCCGGUUCGGGGAUUCAAAGCAGCAAUGCGUCGGAGGAGGAGCCCGCGCCCGAUUAGCUAGUUGGUAGGGUAACGGCCUACCAAGGCUUUGAUCGGUAGCUGGUCUGAGAGGAUGGCCAGCCACACUGGAACUGAGACACGGUCCAGACUCCUACGGGAGGCAGCAGUGGGGAAUCUUGCGCAAUGGGCGAAAGCCUGACGCAGCGACGCCGCGUGGGGGAUGAAGCUUCUCGGAGUGUAAACCCCUUUCGACUGGGACGAAUGCCUCGCAAGAGGAGUGACGGUACCAGUAGAAGAAGCCCCGGCUAACUACGUGCCAGCAGCCGCGGUAAGACGUAGGGGGCCAGCGUUGUUCGGAAUUACUGGGUGUAAAGGGUUCGUAGGCGGUGUGGCAAGUCGGGAGUGAAAUUUCUGGGCUUAACUCAGAAGCUGCUUCCGAAACUGCUGUGCUCGAGUGUGGGAGAGGCGCGUGGAAUUGCAGGUGUAGCGGUGAAAUGCGUAGAUAUCUGCAGGAACACCCGUGGCGAAAGCGGCGCGCUGGACCACUACUGACGCUGAGGAACGAAAGCUAGGGGAGCAAACAGGA